ACGACCUCAACUCAAGCAAAUUACCCGCUCUGCCCCGCAUAUCAGUAAGCGGAGGAAAAGAAACAAGCAUUGU
RNAcentral lists this ribosomal RNA (73 nucleotides) under Steinernema ashiuense. RNAcentral describes it as "partial 28S ribosomal RNA". The record is from RNAcentral. Lineage: Eukaryota; Metazoa; Nematoda; Chromadorea; Rhabditida; Steinernematidae.